Non-coding RNA from Sus scrofa (pig), 18353 nucleotides. Lineage: Eukaryota; Metazoa; Chordata; Mammalia; Artiodactyla; Suidae. The record is from RefSeq and is a predicted model, not a curated record.
GCAGCCCAGAAAGGAGCUGGGCUGCGGACUGCAGGCAACCAGGCAGCUGGAUCCCACCGAGGAGACGGCUCUGCGUUCACGGCGGCCGGGGCUCAGCCGGACGGUGCGCGAGCCAUCCCCUGGCGCACCGUUCCUCGGCGUUGGUAAGUGCUCAGUGGGCCGACGACCCUGCCCCCCUCUGUGGCCGCGCGCCGCACACCGAUCGGGCACCAUGAAGUCCACAGGCUUUUUCUCCUGUGCAGCGCCCCGGUCGGAGGGGGCUGCAGCUGGGCCGAGCUGUCGAGCCGCCGCAAUCACCGGGCGCUGCCUGUAGAACGUCUGGGCCGGCAGCCCGGCUGGAGCCUGGCCAGUGCCUGAAUCUCGUGCCCGCGCCGCAGACGGCGCCGGGCCCCCGACUCCGAAGAGGAGAAGGAGGGUGGUCGCCCGGGGAGCCCCCUCCGGUGCGCCAUGGAGGCAGAGGCCGCAGCUCUCUCUCAGGAGCCCGCUGCCGAACCCAGCUGCAGCCUCGGUCACCUGUUUAGUAGCCGUAAGCUGUUGGCCGUGGGGGCCGUGCUAGGCUGGCUCCUGGUCAUCCACCUCCUGGUCAACGUGUGGCUUUUGUGCCUUCUGUCUGCGUUGCUUUUGGUGCUGGGAGGAUGGCUGGGCUCCGACGCCAUCGUGGGGGCUUCAGGUCGGCUGCACCUGGAACGCUUUAUCCCGUUGGCCAUCUGCCCCCCAAACCCCGAGGCCGAGAGGCAGCUGGAGCAGGAGAUCGACCGCACCAUCCGCCUGAUCAUGCGGGAUUUUGUGUCGUCCUGGUACCGCACAGUGAGCCAGGAGCCGGCCUUUGAGGAGGAGAUGGAGGCAGCCAUGAGGGGUUUGGUGCAGGAGCUGCGGAGGCGGAUGGCCAUGGUGGACCGCCAUGCUCUCGCCCAGAGGGUUCUGACGCUUUGCGGUUGCCACCUGCAGAGCUAUAUUCAGGCAAAGGAGGCCACUGCAGGGAAGCAGAGUGGCACAGUUGAGCCCUCCCAGCUUUGGGAGGCCUAUUGCCGGACCACUGCCCCACAUCCUGCAGUCCAGAGCCCCAGUACUGAAGUCACCUAUACACGUGAAAUUGUGGACCUGUUGCUUAAAGGGCUAGUGCCAAAGCCCCACUUGGAGACCCGGACUGGCCGCCAUGUAGUGGUGGAACUCAUCACUUGCAAUGUGAUCUUACCGUUGAUCAGCAAGCUCUCAGAUCCUGACUGGAUUCACCUUGUACUCGUGGGCAUCUUUUCCAAGGCCAGAAAUAAUCCAGCUGGAACAAUGAAACCCCUCUGCCAAGCCAGUACCCUGGAACAGCCCUCAGUGCCCACAUCUCUGCCCCUGAUUGUUGAGGUGCAAAGUCUACCAAAAGUGAGAGCCCCCUCUCCAGCAGCAGUCCCAGUGCUCCUGGACUGCAGUGAGCCAGAUGGACCAUCACACCUGUCCCCAGAAGUUGAAGAAGGCCGUGAAGCACUAGAGGGAGACCUGGGGGUAGUGCUAGAAGAAAGAAGAGUAGGAAACAACCCUUCUCAUUUCCUACAACCAGGUAUUACAGGCCCUCUGUUCCUGUCUGAAGACGCAGAGCUGGAGUCUCCGCUGUCUGAACUGGGCAAAGAAACCAUCAUGCUCAUGACCCCAGGCAACUUCCUCUCUGACAAGAUCCCGAAUGUCUUGUGUGUCCUAGGAGGUUCCCACUCCCUAGAGGCUAAGGAUGCUGAGGGAUCCGAAGGAGUCGAAGAAGCAGAAGCUGAGGAGGGCCCAGGAACAGAAACAGAUUCGGGCCUGCUUGUCUCCAUGCUCAAUACCUGCCCAGAGAUCCACAUUGACACAGCAGACAAAGAGGUAGAACAAGGAGAUGUCACCUCUCUUGCAACUUUGCUGGCCAGUCCAGAAAGGACAUGCCCGCCACGACCUCCGUGCUUAGAGAAAGAACUCACCAAUGGCGUGAGCGCCCUCGAUCCUAGUCUGCCUCAGGUUCUGCUUUCCUCCUCUCCACCUGGUCCCCUCAGCGCGGCCACCUUCAGCUUUGAGCCCCUGAGCAGUCCAGAUGGCCCUGUUGUCAUCCAGAACCUUCGUAUCACCGGCACCAUUACUGCUCGAGAGCACAGUGGCACCGGAUUCCACCCAUACACGCUCUACACGGUGAAGUAUGAGACGGCCCUUGAAGGCGAGAGCAGCAGCGGCCUGCAGCAGUUGGCCUACCACACCGUGAACCGCCGCUACCGCGAGUUCCUGAAUCUGCAGACCCGUCUGGAGGAGAAAUCCGACCUACGAAAGCUCCUCAAAAAUGUGAAGGGUCCUAAAAAGCUCUUUCCGGAUCUUCCGUUCGGAAACAUGGAUAGUGACAGAGUGGAAGCCCGCAAGAGCCUCUUGGAAUCAUUCCUGAAGCAACUCUGUGCCAUUCCUGAAAUCGCUAACAGCGAGGAGGUACAGGAGUUCCUUGCCCUGAACACAGAUGCUCGUAUCGCCUUUGUCAAGAAGCCAUUCGUGGUCUCCAGGAUAGACAAGAUGGUGGUGAGCGCUAUCGUGGACACCUUGAAGACAGCAUUUCCUCGCUCCGAGCCCCAGAGCCCCACCGAGGAGCUGAGCGAGGCCGAGACAGAAAGCAAGCCCCAGGCAGAAGGCAAGAAGGCUAGCAAGUCCAGACUGAGGUUCUCAUCCAGUAAAAUUGCUCCAGCACUGAACAUAGCUGAGGCACACGAGAAAAUUCUCUAUUGUCUCCAGGAAGGCAGUGUGGAGUCAGAGGUUCUCUCCAUGUCUGGGAUGGAAUCCUUUAUUGAAAAACAGACAAAGUUACUAGAAAUGCAGCCAGCAGAAGCCCCAGGAAAAGAUUCUGAACAAAUCUCCAAGGAAUGUGUGGAUGGUUUCGAGGCAGAGGCAGCUGUACCAGCCCAAGACCUCAGCAACAAUGACGCAGGAGCAGAGACAGCGUUGGCUAACACAGCCCUGGACCUGCUUCUCUUGCUGCUGAUGGAACAGUGGAGAUGGCUGUGUACAGAAAACGUGCAAAAAGUUCUUCAUCUUAUCUUCGGGACCCUAAUUCAGAGCCAACAGUAUGUAGUCACUGUGAUGAUAAACAAUGAGAAAGCCAAGGAGAAAACAGACCAGUGCUCUCAAGAUAAAGGGUGUUUUCUCCAGCGGGAUGUAUGUAUUCACCACUGAAGAAGGACUUACUGACACAGGAUGGUAAGGAACAGAGGGAUACUUAGAUUUGAAUCUCGGAUUUUAUAAUUCAGGCUUAGUGAUCCCAGCGCCAUUUGAAUCUGCCGAAAGAUUUUUUUACCUAGAUGGAGUGUUUAGCUGUUGACUUCCUAACCGUGAACCUGAUGCAAGCUCUGCUAGUCUGAAGAAGCCAGAUUCACUGUCUCUGAACCAGACAGACACACGUAGUGCUUGAGCUUUGGCCGCUCUUGCUUUGACCUCUCGUAUGAGACAUCCUGGCAGAUCCCAAAGUAAGAAGCAGCCAAAUCCUGAACUCUUCUGUCAGCAGGUGGCCCGUGCUGAUAGGUCACUCCAAAAAUAAAAACUUAUCUUAAAAAAAAGAAUGAUGUAUCUAUUUUGCAACAAGGAGGAGAUCCAGUAAUGACAAGCAGUUAAGUCUCCCCUCCCACACGUAAAGUUACACAGCACCAGGAAGGCUUAAUGUGCUUUCAUUAAGAAACUAAGGGAAAGAAGAGGUUGCACAUUUAUAGUUGCUGAAUGCUUAUCACAUGCCAGCACCUGACUCUGUUCACAUGCCUUUCCUUAGAGCAACCAAGUGAGUUAGGUAGCCCCAUUGCACAGAAUAAGAAAGUAGAGCUUGGCAAGGUCAGCUCACCUACCCAAGGUCAUAGUCAGUGACUUGUGUGGAAUUUGAAGCUGGAUGGGCACAACUCCAAAGCCAGUGUGCUUUUUCCCGCAUUGGAGCCUGAAGCCUGGUCUCCAAGUGAAGCCCAUGUAGAACAAUGCUGACUCUUCCCUGUGCCUCUAGUCUCCCUCCUCCGUGCUCAGCUCUGCUUCAAAACUACUUUUUCUGAGAAGCACAUAUGAACAUAGAUCCUGCAUUUAAUACCCUUCAGGGGAGCCCUCUUGCCUAUAGCAGGGAUUUAUGUGAUAUGUUUCCCAGAGUUGUAGGGGUCCACAGAGGUGCUUCAGAAGCCACCUUAGAAGCCAGGGGAAAACGGAGUAGACCUUGAAUGCAGUAAAGCGAUUCCCUUUCGAUCAGGUUAGUAGAUCAGGGAUCUAGAUAGGGUUUUGUUUGAAAAAGGGCUCCACUGUAUUUAAAAUAUGUACUCACUUAUUAGAUUAAAAUUCCAUCUCCUUUCUCAUUUGGCAUGAUCUGGUCCCAGCUUUAUUGGCAGUUCUCAGGCCCUCUCUUCCUGAGAGCACUGUGAGCACUGUGCCCUCUCUUCCUUCAGGCCUUUGUUCAUCCUCUUGUCUCUGCCACAGUGUCUUCUCAACCUAUUCCUCCCCUGCUCCCUCUCUGUGACCCAGACUUUCCCUCCUCUUGUCUGCUUGGCCCACUGCUGAAUAUUUUUCAAAAAUGAACUUUCAGUGUCGUAUAUUCUAUGGCAUCAUCUCCCGUUUUCGUCCAGAAGUAAGAGGCUUCUUCUCUACUCUCAAAGUUUUGAUAAUAAUACGUAUCACAGUGUAUGAGAAAUGGUCUGCUUUCCCCCAGACUAGUGGUUCUCAACCUGGAGGGCAGUUUUCCCAAGGUAUUGGGUGAUACCUGGAGAGAUUUUUGGUGUCAUAACUGAGAAGGGAGGCAAGAAGCUAUUUCACCCUGGCUGGAGGGCAGGGAUGCUGCUGAGCAUCCUGAGUGACAGGACAGCAUCCUUCCCACCCCGAACGACACUGAAUUACCCUACCCUGAGCAUCAGCGCAGAGGUCCAGAAACCUCGCCCUGGACUUGCGAUUAUUUAAGGGCCAGAACUAGCUUAUGUCCCCAGGAGCUUACAUGGGGCCUGGGACAUAGAAGAUGCUUAUUAAAUAUUGGAUGAAAGAAUAAACAUUUCCCUUUUCAAUACCUUUAUACUCAAAACUAGAAAAAGUAGAGUCUUCGUAUGUUUUUUUCAGUCACUUGCAAACGAUCCUGUGGAGUUUUCAUUUCUCUCCCACCAUUAGGCUUCUCUUUGCCAAUCUUGCAAGUGCUUUCAAAAAGUGGGAAGAUCCUGGGAGUUCCCUUCAUGGCCCAGCGGUUAGUGAACCCGACUAGGAUCCAUGAGGACAUGGGUUCGAUCCCAGACCUCCCUCAGUGGGUUAAGGAUCCAGCGUUGCUGUGGCUGUGGUGUAGGCCGGCAGCUGUAGCUCUGAUUCGACGCCUAGCCUGGGAGCUUCCAAAUGCAGCGAGCACGGCUAUAAAAAGCAGAAAAGGGUUGGGGAGGGGUGUGAUCCUAAACGAGCUAGUGUAUCAUAGUUGGUUAGCCCUCUGAAAUCAUUUACGUGGUAAAUUGGUUCAGAAACAAGAAGUUAUUCCAUAGUAACCAAAAAGUACAGAUGAGUCUGGAGAAAUUCAGAAAGGAUUGAGAGUCAUGUAUGUAACAAAGGUGGGAAGGUUACCUGAAGUUCGAGUAACUCAGAAUAUUAAAGAGCUUGGGCCAGAAAGGAGAGAGAAGUGUAUUUGGGGAAUUAGAGGAAGAUCACUGAAGAAGUGUUUUGCAUAGCUAGGGUUCUUAGGGCUUUAAAACAGGAAAAUUAAAUCCAAGGGAGUUGCAGGCUACAAGAAUCUCAAGCCAGGUUUCAUUACCUCAGCAGGCGAUAAUUAUAAAUUCUCUCAUGAUAGGGAGGAGAUUGUAGAGAGGAGGGGAUGGGCUGUGAAGAAGUAAACAGAUCAUGCUCUUGAGUGUGAGCUGUUUCCUUGCCUGCCCGGUAGACAUCCGUGCGGCUGUACUGUGUCAUUCAUUCUGCUUUACCUUAAGAUACUCCUCUCCAACUGGGGCAUUGUUUUGGUCUUAUUCCAUUAUUCAUUGAAAAAAUAUUAAGGGCUGUUCAAUGUGAACAAAACAGACAGCGGUCCCUACUUUCGCAUAUAUUAGUUUGGGGGUGGUGAGAACUGAGGGCUUUGCCCAUGAUCACAGGGUGAGGGCUCGGUGGAGCGAGAAGUCAAAGCCAGGUACUUCAAAGCCCAAGUUCUUAUCCACUGCAAGACAGUGCUGCUCUUCUCUAUUUAAUCUCUCUGAGCUUUGGUUUCCUCAUCUGCAGAGGAGGAAUAAUGAUGUCUGUCCCUAGGUAGGUAGAUAAGCGGCACAUGUCCAGCACAGGUCAGUCUUCAUAUUUGUGCUUCAGAAAAAGGAGAGAAGGAUAGAAAGUGCUUCAAAUUCCUCAGGGGUGGUGCCUCAGUCACCCCCCAGUUCAUGUCUUCAGGGUGCCCCACACAGCUGAGUCUCUGGCAGUUUCCGCCUCUCCUGUUAGCCUGCCUCUCUGAGCUGCACAGAAUGGGCCUUCCACGCCUACGGCUUCGUGAGGCCUUUCAGAGUGCCUUUGUGCCAGUGGACUCAUUGGCCACAGGGACAACCAGAGCCUUUUUGCAUCUGAGAGCAGGAAGAGGAGCACCUGGUCCCCCGUAGCACAGACAAGCACAGGUUCCGGACAGAGUACGGCAGUGUUUUCCAGGUUUACUGCUGCUCCUCGUUACACCGGUGCGGAGAGCUGCUGGAGUCAAGUGGUGCCUUUCCUCAGGAGGAGAACUUGGAAGCAGGCUAAGCUCCUCUACUUUCUGUCCCCAAACCCUGACGGUGGCACUGGAACCACACCUCUGGAUGGAUAGCUCUCUGGUGAAUGUAGCUCAUGCCAUAAACAAAAUCAGGGAGAGGGCUCAUGGCUGAAUUUCCCCUGACUUUCUUCUCUUUUCACGUUUUUUUUUUUUUUUUUUUUUUUCAUUGCGUGUCAUCUUUUUUUUGUUGUUGUUAAAGGGGAAAAUUCUUAAUGCUUUUAGUGAAUGCGAAUGAAGCCAAAGUGAGUAUUGUGCAAGAACAGAAUGUUGUAGCUGGUUCCUUUUGGAAAACUCUCUGUACCUGUGGUCAUUACCCCUGUUCAUCAUAGGUCCUUCCCAGUGAUGAUAUUUUGUACUCGUUGAGUUGCCUCCUGUCCCUUCCUGUCAGAAGGUACUUAUAUCUAGUAAAACUUUACCCUUAAGUCCAUUUUGUUUUGUAUGAGCUGCAACAGAAGUAGGAACACAGCUCUUGCCAUCCUCCCGGCCCUAAGCCUCUACAAACCAGAAUGAAAUGAGGAGCCUCAUCCCUUCCUGUGCAAGGCCUUUCAUUUUCCUCUCUAAAUCGUCCUUCCCAUCUUUUUAACCAUAUACUUGGCCCUCUUCUCAGAUACCUUGUGCUGGGUUCACGUUGUUCUUGAAGCUUCCCAAGAUAGCAUCCAGGAGUCGUGGCUAUCUGAAGGAGUCCCAGUGCCCCUCCAGAGGCUGAGAGGAUCUGUGGUGGCCCACACUCUCAUACCAGCAAGUGCCCUUGUAUGAGGUUCCCACGAAACAAUCGGGCUUGGUUCAGGGUUCACGGUGUAGACAUCAAUGAUCUUAUCCUCUUCAGGGUUUAUCAUCCAGCAGGUAUUUGUUGAGAGUUUCCUUGGUGUAGACCCUGUGCUAAACACAACAAGCCGAUUAUUUAAUCCCUUCAAAAGCCCUAUGAAAGGGGUAUUAGGAUCCCCAUUUCAAAGAUGAGGAAACUAAGACUUACCAAGAAUUGUGGUCAUUGAGUCAGGGUCACAGAGCUAAGAAGUGUACCACAGACACAGUUCGAACCCAGGUUUAUCUGAUGUUAGCUGUGGAGAUGGUCUCUUGGGAUCAGACUUUUGCCCCAAUUUGAAAGGAUGAAAGCCAGCCCCCCCAAAUCUUUGACCCAGAGCGGUAAAAUUCCCCAAGAGGAAAGUUAUCAGUCAGUGUGUAAAAUGAAAACUACAUUUCCAUAUAUGCACACUCACGCAAAACUCAGAGUGCCCUGCAGCAUCCUGAAGUCAGCCCAUGUUACUUGCUCCCUGGACAGCUUGCAUUUUUUAUUUUUAAAAAGAGGUUCAUGCAGUGCCGCAUUCUUUGGCUUUGUUUGCUUCGGUAAGCAAAGAAGCUGGAAUGUGAUCUCUCCCCAAAGCUGCAGCGCCUCUCCCUCCACCUGUCAGCUACCCCCAGAGAGGUGGGGCUGGACCCAGCCGGUCAGGGUUGGCCUUUCUGAGACUGUCCCCAUGGCUGCUGCCCGGGAGGCAGUCUGUUUGUUCUCUCUCGGAAACCACAGGUGCUGAGCUGUAUCCCUUUGCAGAGCACCUGGGUUCUCUUGCCUUAAGUUCUGCACUUUAAAGGGAAGGAGAGUUGGUGCUGAUGCCCCAGGUAGCCACUGCCACUACUCUGGUUAUCUUGAACCCACUACAGUGGGCAUUGGGGAUGGUCCAGCCCUGUAGAUUUAGAGGCAUCCCCUUUUUAAAAUGUCAGCAUUUUCCAUCCUCCAGUGUUAUCAUCCAAGAAGAUAAGUUAAUUCCUCUUGCUUCCAGCUUUGUCUGUUCUCCUUGCUCCCUUAAAUGACCUAUACACAUAACUGCCUGGGGUGCCAGGGACCACACGGGGGCGUGCACUGUCUCACUUCUUCCCUCUUGAUAUGCACCAUCUCUCUCCCUCCCCCCUCGGCCCCCCUCCCUCUCUAUCUCUGGCCUGCAAGGGAAAAAAAAGAGCGAGAGUAAAUUCAACCUCAUGACCCCUCCUUGUAAGCCAAGGUUGGAAGAGUUCUGAUCUGAGCCAGGCUACAUAAAUCUGCGUUGAUUGUUGAUGGCGUGGAGAGUGGGGGAAGGGGGCCCAAAGAGAAGUUAGAUGCCCAAAAAAGGCAUUGUUAAGUCAAAGGGAAGCUUUGCACGCAUGCGCGCCUGACCUCAUGUGUCAGCUUCUUUGCUGGGAACAUCCAAGGAGUCCAAGGAGCACUCCUUACUUGGACUUAGAGUCAAAGGGCGGGGAGAGGAGUGGGGGGAGCAGUCUAAGCCAAGGCGUGCGUCCAGCUUAUGAGACCGCUCGUGUCCGAAAACAGGAGAGACUGACAGUACCCCUGCAGGCAUCAGAAUCAGGUUUAGGAACUUGGACACGUACCCAGACCUUGACUGGGUCAAGGGAAAGAGGAUAGAUGUACUGUGCUCCAUUGAUGGUAGAAGGUUUGGGGCAGGAAGAUCCAGCCAAGGCAGCACGUUUCUGAGUGUGUGUGCAUGCAGAGAAGACAGACAAACAUUAAAUAUGUUCUGGAAAGCCCACCAGGCUACUACUCCUUGGGGGAGUUAGAACCGGAAUUCUCCCUUUGGACACCAGGUGGCACUACAGGUGGCUAGAAGUGCAGGUAGCUAACCUGACCUGUCCGCAGCGCUGGGUGCAGUACCUCCGGCUUCUUCAGGAGUCCAUCUGGCCUGGCGGGGUUUUGCCUAAGUAUCCUCGGCCUGUGAGGACCCAGGAGCAGAAGGUGGCUGCUGAGGAACAGGCUUUGCAGAGCCUGAUGGGAGUCCUGCCAGAUAUUGUUGUGGAAAUCCUGGGUGUGAACAAGUGCCGGCUGAGCUGGAGUCUGGUUCUGGAGUCGCUGCAGCAACCCCUCAUCAACAGGCAUUUGAUUUACUGCCUUUGGGACCUCAUCCUGGAAUUCUUGGAUCUCAAUGCCUCUGUUGAGGAGUCUGCCAUGACCACCUCUGCCUCAGAGACCCCAAGCAACCCCAAGAAGAUGGGCGUCUCCCCUUAGCCAGAGGUCAUUCACCCAUUUCUUCGAAGUCAGGAAGGGAGAGUGACUCUGCGCCCCAGGACCAGUCAGAAGCAGGGCUGUGCCUCUGGAGUUGGGCUUGGCUCAGAAGCCUGGGAUCUCAGUGGCACAGGUCUCCCCCCACCUACACCUCGUCUGCAGCAGGUGAUGGGGUCUACGUACCAGUUGCAUGCAUAUCCGUUCCCAUGCCUUUGUGAUGGUUUUUUGACUGUUGGUGGUUAGAUCCUGCUGCCUUUGGAAAAGGAAGCUGUGAGGCAGAGGAAGGAGCCCCUUUUGCCUCGCCUUUGCCCUCCUCUCUAAGGCUGUUUGCCGACAGCCUGGCCCUGCGCAUACAUGUGCUUGACCCCUGGGGCAAGCUCUAGCUAGACUGGGAAAAGCAAUGGCCGGGUGCUCCUGGAGGAGAAGUCUUCUGAGUUCUCUGUCCCCACCAGGAAACUAAAAAUUCAUUCAGAACCACUCUUGAGAGCCAGAGUCCUAGUCCUGUCUGGUCUCCCAACAACUCCACAAGAGGAGGGAGACCUUUCUCAAGACAGUCCUUGCUCAUUGGCUAGUUUCCAACACAUCAGCUCUAUAGAGGAUGUCACCGAAGCCUGCUUCCCACAGUGGCUGCUCUUUUCCUGUCCAAGAGACUUCAAAGCAGUCUGCCGAAGCUUCUGGUAGGUCCACUCUUUCCUGCAAGAGAGUUGCACCACAGAUUUUAUUUAUUCGCUUCCCUUCUAACCCCCUCCCUAAGAGCAGUGGCGUUCCGGCCCCUGCAGCCUUCUCUGUCUUCCUUCAGCGAAGUCAAAGUCGUGUAGCAGGUUACAUAUUCAAGCCCAGUGCUUCUCAAGGGAAGGGAAGGACUUGCUCGGCUGAGAAUGCCCGGAGGAGCGAGGGCUUCUCUUCUUCACAAGUCUCCAACAGGGAGCAUUUCAUCCGAACCAAUACCAUUAGCAGACAUUCCCACAAGAAGCUGUUUCCUUCCUGCUCCUUCAGGAUCUGAGGAGUCGUGAAGGACACCAGUGGUGAAAGCAGGGGCAGCAUCCAGUAGGACGGACCAUGGGGAGAAAUCGGUGGCAGGAAGGAGGACAGAGAGCGGGGCCAGGCGCCACAGGAGGUCUUGCUGAGGCGCUUGUUCACACCUGUCCCUUCCGCUUGCACUUGGGGGGCGCGCAGCUUCCACUGAGCUGUGCUGCCACCCCCCCCCCCGCUUGGAGGGGGGGGCCUUGGGUUUAGGCUGGCGAGAACGGGGUGGGUCUAGGACGAGCGUCAAGAUCCUCUUAGACUCUAAAGUAGGUGAUGCACACACAGUUAAAAUGGUUCACGGGAGAAAGUUGGGAAACCUUUUUGCUUUAACCCCUUUCCGGGGUUGGGGGGCGGCUUGUAACCAUCAAACAUGUUCUGGUGUGACUGGGAGGUUUUCGAGGUCCUGUUCUUGCCGAAAGGCAGGGAGAUGAAUGAGGUCAUGUGACUUGGGACCUUCGAGCCUUAAUGAUUGUUACAGUGACUUUAUGGCUCCAAAGUUCUCCAAACACCUCCCCAGCUAGAAGUCGCAGCGGAAGCAGCUCAGCAUCUCUGCCUCUGGCAGGUGUCUGCAGGAUGAGGGAUCGCGGGGAGCCCAGCCUGGACUGCCGCUACCCUUCUGCCCCCACUGCUCCAGGAAGGGUGGGGGCACCCCUGUUCUCUGCCACCCUUCUCUCCCCACGCUUUCCUCUCACAUGUACUCACCACCUAUAUCGCUUUGAAUCUGUGCUCCUAGAUGUGGCUCAGAUGUGGCCCAAACCCGGUACACAGGCUGGCACAUGUUAAAGCCCUUACAACUAAAUUCUAAGGAAACUUUUCACACUUUCAGCCCAAAGAAAACCUCCUUGUAUUUCAUAUUCUAUAAGAGACCCCACCUCUACUGUCUGCCCCCAGAAGAUAAGUUCUCCUCAGACCCUCCUUCCCGGAAGGAAAAUAAUGGAUAUCGCCAAGGAAAUAAGCAACACCCAUCUGGCUUUGAAACGACCUGCCAAGUUUAGGUGGCUGGUCUGGGCACACCAGGGAGAUGGGCAUUUGAGGGAGAGCCACAGGUCGCAGGAAACGAUGCUCCCAGCUGGGAGAGUGAGUGAUGAGUGAAGAACUGGACCCGACAUUAACCUGGAAUAUCCAUGACCCUCCUCUUGCCCUCUCCAGCCCAUUCAUCGCCAGCUGCCACUCUUCCUUUGUGACUAGCACCCAGCAACAGUUACUAGGUCCUAGACAGAGUGAAAACAUCAACAUGGCCCCUGGCUACACGCGUUAGGAUGCUUUAGGCUGAAGUACAAUUACUAAGUACAUUUAUUUUCUUCCAUAAAAUCAGUACCUGGGUGGGUGAGGCCCGGGGGCUGAUGGAUUCAGCUACUCUGCCCUCCUACAGGGGCCACAUUCUUCUCAUCUUGGUGCUUUGCCUUUGUGAGCUCUGUCCUCAGAUGCCUGCCUUCAUGGUUGCUGCGGUUCAGGGCAUCACGUUCUUUGAGAACAACGUCAGGAAGGAACAGGGGCAAGGCUCCCGUGUUUUCUCUUAAACAUGGAGGGAACCAUUUCCCAGAAGCCCUUCAAAAAUCCUCAGGACUCCUGGGCCAGAACUGCCCACCCCAGGCCGGUCCACUGACACUGAGGCUGCAUAACCAUAAUUGGCCUGUCGUAGUGUUUACCACCCGGAGAGGAGGUCACUCUAGUUAUUCUCCUGGAAGAAUAAAUAGAUGUUCGCAAGGAAGACGCAGAGAGUGGGUGUUGAUAGAGUGUCUGUUGCAGGGGGUGUUCUGCCAACGUCACCACAGCCCCCAUGGGACACUGAAAAUAAGACGAAUGUUUGCUGCAGGUACUCCUUGAAGCUCGUCCCAUGCAUUGACUUGCUUAACCCACGUGAGCCUGGUAAGGUAGUACAUCCCCAACUUACGGGGGGGACACGCGGCACCGAGCAGUGGUGACCUGCUACAGUCACAGCCAAGGUACAAAUCCAAUCAGUCCGCUCUCAAGCCCACACGCAGAGCUUUGUGCUAAUCUGUCUUUCUCACAAAAUAAGACAGGCUUUCGCUUUUAAGGAGCCUAUAUCUAGUAGAGGAAUCAGCAGACUUGGGCAAGGGGCAGGGAGUACGCAUUUUAGGCUGUGUGGCCACAUGGUCUUUGUUGCACCUGCUCAGCUCUUCCAUUGUGGCAUGAAAGCAGCCACAGACCAUGUGGAUUCAGACAAUGGCUGUGUUGCACCUUAACUUCACUCACGCAGAACGGAGCGGGCCGGGGCUAGCCCGUGAACAGUUCCCAGAUGCCUUGUCUAGUGGGCGUUAGAACAGUGCUUGCUGAACUCGAGUGUGCCCAUGAGCUACCCGGGGCCGUGUAGAGGGCCUCGUGUGCUGCAUGUUAAGAAGCUCCCAGAGGUCCCAGGGAGAGUGUAGGCCUUUAGCAUCAGGGGCUAGAACAGACACCUCUUAUUGGCUGUGGCUCACACACUACCAAGGCUACAGGGAGGGAACUUAAGAUUGGGGACCAGGGAGAGCCUGAGGUGGUAAUAUCUGUAUUGACUCCUAAAGAACUGAAAUCGCAUGGGGAGGUGUACAGGUGGAGGGAACGGUGAGCCAUGUGGGCACAGAUAAGGAGAGUAGUCACAGAAAGACAUAGUGCAUGGCCCCACGUCCCAUGGUGGGGGGGCGGGGGGGUGCCUGGACUGGCAGGCUCCCAGAGACAGUGGAGUGGCGGUCCGGGGGCAGGGGCAGCGGAUGCAGAGUUUCCAAGAUGAGAGAGUUCUGGAGAGCUAUUCACAAGAGUGUGAGUGUACAUAACACUACUGGACUCUGCACUUUAAAAUGUUUGUGAUGCUAAAAUUCUAUGUGUUCUAUUUUACUGCGAUCGAGAAAUUUUUAAAUUUUUAAAAGACAUGGAGAGCUGACAGCAGAGCAUGGCAUGCAGGGAGGGAGUGGCAAGAGCCAAGGCUGGGGCCGCAUGGCGUUGGGUGGGAGAGGACUUGUCAGGGUGCUGCUCUCGAGGAACCUGGAGUCCAUUCACUCUGCAAGGUGGGGGCUCGUGGAAGGGUCCUCCUGAGAGCAUUUUGUAUCUACAGUCCUGGGCACAGGGGGCUUGGCCACACACCCAGACUGUCCUGCUCAGCCCUGCCCCAGGGACCUGGCUCCUGCCUCGGUCACUUCCCUUUCAUUCCUCCCAGCCUGUCCCCACUGCUGCUUACCCAUGAUGGCCAUGGGGGUCUGAAGAGUAUAAUGAACUUGGCGUGAUGAAGCCAGAUUGGAACCCUAGCUCUGCCACUUGGCUGAGGAUGUGGGUGUGGCCGGGUAGUUCAGGCGUCACUGAGACUCAGAUGUCUCUGAGGAAGAGGGACGCAUACAUGAGGACCGUUUAGACAGCUCAGGGCAGUAAUGUGUAAGAUCAGCCUUCCGGAAGCACAGGUGCACCUGCUGUGAGCCUGUCGGUGGCGUUUCCGGGCUCCUCUGCUGCUGGCGGGAGCAGUGGAGAUGCCUGACUUCAGGAACUCUCCCGACCCUGCCCGGGUGCCUCCGCUUCCAUAGCCCCCUCAGAACCUGCCGUUCAUCCUAAUCUUCCUUUGGACUGGAGUGAAAUGUGUUUUCUUAGGAUGAGGAAAGGAAGGUUAGCCAACCCUGCUGGAUACAGUUGGGGGUGGGAAGCACGGAGGGAGUGGUGACUGGGGAGGAAGGGAAACCAUGAGGCUGUUGUCGUUGAAGCCCAGCCGGGCAAGCUCUGCCACAACUUGGCACCUCUGUUUCCUUUCCACUGGGAGUGCCAGAAAUCACAGGGCAGGGCUUGCUGACACCGCUUUUGUGGACAGAGAACAAAACCGCCGAAGGGUGAAUUUCAGCCAGCAAACCUCCAUCGCUCCUUGGUGGCGUAAAGGAUGAAGAUGCUGCUACACCCCCAAAGACUCUCAGAGAGGGCCAUGAGGGGAGGCCCCCGAACACAAUUUGCACACCCUAAGCUGUGUCUGAUAGUUCUUAGUACACAAAGACAGCAGUGUCUGUUUAAAAAACAAAAGCACAAGCCCAGAAGAAUGUAUCAAGCAAGAAACAAAUGAAAAUCACCAGAACUGUUUUCCUUCUGUGCCCCGGUAGCAGGAUUUGAAGCAGAGGCAGCAUGGAGCAGAGCGGUGGGGAAACCUGGGCACCCAGUCACCUUGGCAGACGCUCUGUGCUAUUCUCAGAUUUGCUGAGCCUUCCCGCUGUCUCCCUCCCACUUCUCACCUGUCUCUGGUCUGAAAGUACCUUUGAACUUGGCUUUUUUGGAAGCAAAACCAAGCAUGUGACAGAAUACAGAGAACUUCAUGACAAAAUCCGCUUUCUCUACACAUCUUGAUUCUUCAAACUUAGCUCCAAGCGCUUCUGUAUAAGUCACUGGUGAACCCCUGGUCUCUGAGACGUGGAGUGUUGGGAGGGAGAGUAAGAAGAGUGAUGGGAUCAGAUCCCAACUUAGAAAACAUUUCUUAAGUGACAUUAUCUGCUCAUUUAACCCCAAAUAGACCUCUUCAUCAUCCAUAUUUGGGAAAUGCAAGCUAAUUUCAAUGUUAAAAUGUUAAAAGAUUAAGAAGGUACAUCUGUCCGUGGCUUAUAUGUAAGUAAUCCACUGACCUUUUUUUAAAGUUGAAGUACAGUUGAUUUACAAUAUUAUGUUUUGGAUGUUACAGCAAAGUGAUUCAAUUACACAUUUAUAUGUAUGUAUCUAUAUUCUUUUUUUUUUCAAUUCUUUUCCGUUAUAGUUCAUUACAAAAUACCGAACACAGUUCCCUGUGCUAUACAGUAAGCCCUUGUUGUGUAUUUUAUAUAUGGUAGUGUGCAUGCUCUGACUUUUUUCCCUUCCCUAUAUGUUCCCCAUUAUCGUUGUGUUCUGUCAUCAUGAGCAGUGGAGAGUUGCCCAUCCUUGGAUUAAUUAAUGAGGGUGAAGACCAAGAGAGAUAAACACAGAAACCUAGGAUUGAAGACAAAGGCACACAAUGACCACAGGAGCUCUGACCACUCUGCUGGUUAGCACUGGAGGUGAUGAUCCAUAAGCUCGGGGAAUCAGCCCUUCGGCCUGUUCUCUGCAUAAAGAAUCAUUCUGCCCGUCACUAUCAAAAAGAUUAACCACUAUGUAGCAAAAUAUCUACAUUUCGUUUCAUGACUUGCCACUAGAGAGGACAGACCUCAUUGAGAAAAACACCUCUUUCUUUCGAUCUUGUCUCCUCUACAAAUACAUGGAGUCCAAAUCCAACAAGAUGACGGCAAGCCAGAGUCUCAAGAGUAGUGAGGGCACCUUCCAUUAAGGCCUCAUAUGUCUCUAGGAGAAUGACGUGGGCAUGGCUGGCAGUAGGACUUACUUGGGGACAGAAUGUAUUAUGGAGAUGCCUUCAGAGAAAGCUAGGGGCUUGGGCUCCGCUCUUCCCUGCCUCUGUCCUUUGGGACAUUCUUUCCUCCAGCUGGAUUUCCUUCCUCCUGCUGUGCACGGGUGGGCACCCUCUGUCUGUCAGAGCCGAUUCAAGUUCCACUUCCAUGAGGCUUCACCCGAUUGUGCCAGCCAAAACUCUCCUUCCUCAAAGUAAUUGACCCUGCCUCUCAGAUCAGCGUGCAUAGAUGUGGGGUCUUCAGCAAGAGAUUCUAAUUCUUCAAGGGCAGGGAUGUUGUACCUGUUGUGCUCCCAUUAUGUCAACCCUCCUGUACCUAGUGCAUCAUAGGUGCAAAGUAAAUCCUGAAGCUCAUUUGAUUAAAGAAGAUUAUACAUACCAACUUUGAGGAGGUAAAAUAUGUGAAUACAAUGAAUGAAAGAAUUUGCUGGAGACAAGAUCACAAAAAGGAUGAGGGAAGGCAAAUUUUCAUUUUUAAGACCUUAUACCUUUCUUCUACAGCAAAUAUCAAAUGAGAGAAGUUUGUUUUUACAUUUUCUGUGCCAAGCCCCACACAAUCGUAUGCCAGUGCCAUUUGCAGUCUUAAGUAUGUAGGCUGUAAGGUUCUGAAAUUAUAAGCUCCGUAAAGAAAAUCAGUCCCGGUUUGAAAACGGUUUUUAAAAUCAUCCAGUCACAAAAACACGCGGCCUUAUCCUGUCUACUCUCUAAGUCCCCCACCUUCUCCUACUCCUUACCUCUGUGGGAUCAGAAAACAAAACAAACAUCUACCUGCAGGAAAUAUUCUCAACUUCUCCCUGCCCCUGACACAAAAUUUGUAAGGGAUAUGGUUACCAUGAAGAGAAAAACAAAUCUCUCUUCCAUUUGCUCUCUGGAAAUCCUUUGAUCCCAGCUCUAAAAUUCUCUGUUUCACACCUUCUCUAGUAGCUUAAGUCACAGCUAAGAUGCUACACGGAGAACUCUUCAAGGGCACAGGAAUAACCAUGAAAAAAAGGAAGGCUAGCAGGAAUGACCCCUCGCUCUGACAGCUGUUUCCAUCUUCCCCACCAAGUUUGCGGCUCUCACUGUCCAAACACAGCAGAUCAAAGCUGGGCGGCUGCCAUCAGACUGAAAACUAAGGACCCUGAGACAUCCGGAAGAGCUGCAGGUCGUCGUGUUGGCCUCUGGGAAUAGUCACCUGCUGCCUCUGGGCCCCAGAAAGAGCCUCCAGGCCAUGACUGGAAAGAGAGUAGGAGCAGGUAAAGGAGCAAAGGAGGAGGAGAUUCGGUCUGAGAAUUGACCCAGGGACAUGUUCCUGGGGAGCAGAAAUCUCUGGACAAUGCAGUGCUUGGGUCACUUGUUAUCUCGAGCAGACCCACAUAAGAAGGAUCCCAUCUGCUGUGGGACGGAGGCCAUUCCUGGGCCAGGGCGCAUUUGCACAACACAUGACGUGGAACAGGCUCCGGAGCCAAGACUGGUUCUGCAUCCACCCCGGGGGCAGGUUGGUCAGUCUCCAGUGUAAACCUCCAUGGGAUUAACCACUUAUUCCAGUGUAGGGCACUGGGUAAUUCAUACCAGAUCUGUCCCAGACGGCUUUGUACAUCCUGCCUAUGGGGAGGACCCCAAAAUUUCCUUUUCAAUGAUAUGUUUGGAUGAGAUAGAAGCCGUUGUGCUAAUGUUUGAAAGAGACGCUGUCCCAUGUCCACGUGGGUCCCAUGUCCAGAUGCGGGCUUGUCUGCGGCAUAUGGCAUUUAUUUACAAGGUGGGGGCCUGUCUGGACAGUUAAGGGAGGGGGCUCCAUGCUUGGAGAGCCGGGCUCUGCACCUCCUCUCAGCGGCCUGGGGAGGACUGAGGCAAGGGCUUUGUUCCAGCAGGCUCCACAUUGCCGAGGUUCGGGAUGUGGAGGAAUGCCAGCUGCUGGGGUGGAGUGACCCGAGGUCUUUAUCAGAUUAGGGUUUCUGUAGAUGUUUCCCAAAUGAUAGAAAUUUUCCUCAUCUAGUCUUAUUCCUAGCAGGCAGCCUUGGACCAAUAGUUGGCCUCACCCAGUUCCUUCCCUAUGUUUAUUUCCGAAACCUUUUUCUUCAAAACAAAACUAAGUAAACAACAACAGAAAAAGUUUUCAAAAAGACUUUGUAUCUCUAUCCUUUUUCUUUUCUUAGGCAACUUGAAAACUGCUUUCUCUUUGUCCCUAAAUUGUUCUCCUCUAUGAGCUUACCAGUCUUUAUGGGUUGACCUGGCUACGCCACUAGUCUAAUUGUCCCUUUGAUACAUGAAUAUAGACAUCAAUUGAAGAUUACCUAUAAAUCUUAAAUACAUGCUAUUUCUUAUGCUUAACUCCA